Molecule: non-coding RNA, 30 nt
Filed under: Mus musculus (house mouse)
Lineage: Eukaryota; Metazoa; Chordata; Mammalia; Rodentia; Muridae
Source: RNAcentral
UACAUGCUUGUGUGAAGAGUCACAGAAUGC